Molecule: ribosomal RNA, 382 nt
Filed under: uncultured bacterium
Lineage: Bacteria
Description: bacterial SSU rRNA
Rfam family: Bacterial small subunit ribosomal RNA
Source: RNAcentral
AUUGAACGCUGGCGGCAUGCCUUACACAUGCAAGUCGAACGGCAGCACGGGAGCAAUCCUGGUGGCGAGUGGCGAACGGGUGAGUAAUAUAUCGGAACGUGCCCAGUCGUGGGGAUAACGUAGCGAAAGCUACGCUAAUACCGCAUACGAUCUAUGGAUGAAAGCGGGGGAUCGCAAGACCUCGCGCGAUUGGAGCGGCCGAUAUCAGAUUAGGUAGUUGGUGAGGUAAAGGCUCACCAAGCCGACGAUCUGUAGCUGGUCUGAGAGGACGACCAGCCACACUGGGACUGAGACACGGCCCAGGACUCCUACGGGAGGCAGCAGUGGGGAAUUUUGGACAAUGGGCGCAAGCCUGAUCCAGCAAUGCCGCGUGCAGGAUGAA